UGGGGUUGUGGCUCAAUGAUAGAGCACUUACCUAACAUGUGUGAGGCACUGGGUUCAAUCCUCAGCACCACAA
Molecule: transfer RNA, 73 nt
Filed under: Marmota monax (woodchuck)
Lineage: Eukaryota; Metazoa; Chordata; Mammalia; Rodentia; Sciuridae
Description: tRNA.Val
Rfam family: tRNA
About the family: Transfer RNA (tRNA) molecules are approximately 80 nucleotides in length.
Source: RNAcentral